RNAcentral lists this transfer RNA (72 nucleotides) under Penicillium camemberti FM 013. Its description in RNAcentral is "tRNA-Thr (CGT) (tRNA-Thr-CGT-1-1)". It matches the Rfam family "tRNA". From Rfam's summary of the family: Transfer RNA (tRNA) molecules are approximately 80 nucleotides in length. Their secondary structure includes four short double-helical elements and three loops (D, anti-codon, and T loops). The record is from RNAcentral. Lineage: Eukaryota; Fungi; Ascomycota; Eurotiomycetes; Eurotiales; Aspergillaceae.
GCCUCUUUAGCUCAGUGGUAGAGCGCGUCACUCGUAAUGACGAGGUCAUCGGUUCAAUCCCGAUAGGAGGCA